CAGUCGCCGCGGUAAUCCGUAGGGUGCAAGCGUUAAUCGGAAUUACUGGGCGUAAAGCGUGCGCAGGCGGUUCGCUAAGACAGAUGUGAAAUCCCCGGGCUUAACCUGGGAACUGCACUUGUGACUGGCGGGCUAGAGUAUGGCAGAGGGGGGUGGAAUUCCACGUGUAGCAGUGAAAUGCGUAGAGAUGUGGAGGAACACCGAUGGCGAAGGCAGCCCCCUGGGCCAAUACUGACGCUCAUGCACGAAAGCGUGGGGAGCAAACAGGAUUAGAUACCCCGGUAGUCCCUGUCUCUUAUAC
Molecule: ribosomal RNA, 301 nt
Filed under: uncultured bacterium
Lineage: Bacteria
Description: partial 16S ribosomal RNA
Rfam family: Bacterial small subunit ribosomal RNA
Source: RNAcentral